RNAcentral lists this ribosomal RNA (449 nucleotides) under uncultured bacterium. RNAcentral's name for it is "partial 16S ribosomal RNA". It matches the Rfam family "Bacterial small subunit ribosomal RNA", at positions 331 to 794 of the family's 1533-position model. The record is from RNAcentral.
CCAGACUCCUACGGGAGGCAGCAGUGGGGAAUAUUGGGCAAUGGGCGCAAGCCUGACCCAGCAACGCCGCGUGAAGGAAGAAGGCUUUCGGGUUGUAAACUUCUUUUCUGGGGGACGAAGAAAGUGACGGUACCUCAGGAAUAAGCCACGGCUAACUACGUGCCAGCAGCCGCGGUAAUACGUAGGUGGCAAGCGUUAUCCGGAUUUAUUGGGUGUAAAGGGCGUGUAGGCGGGAAAGCAAGUCAGAUGUGAAAACUCAGGGCUCAACCCUGAGCCUGCAUUUGAAACUGUUUUUCUUGAGUGCUGGAGAGGCAAUCGGAAUUCCUAGUGUAGCGGUGAAAUGCGUAGAUAUUAGGAGGAACACCAGUGGCGAAGGCGGUCUGCUGGACAGCAACUGACGCUGAGGCGCGAAAGCGUGGGGAGCAAACAGGAUUAGAUACCCCCGUAGC